UGUCCGGAUUUACUGGGUGUAAAGGGUGCGUAGGCGGCUUUGCAAGUCAGAUGUGAAAUCUAUGGGCUCAACCCAUAAACUGCAUUUGAAACUGUAGAGCUUGAGUGAAGUAGAGGCAGGCGGAAUUCCCCGUGUAGCGGUGAAAUGCGUAGAGAUGGGGAGGAACACCAGUGGCGAAGGCGGCCUGCUGGGCUUUAACUGACGCUGAGGCACGAAAGCGUGGGUAGCAAACAGGAUUAGAUACCCUGGUAGUCCACGCUGUAAACGAUGAUUACUAGGUGUGGGGGGUCUGACCCCUACCGUGCCGGAGUUAAC
This 315-nucleotide ribosomal RNA is filed under the name uncultured bacterium. Its description in RNAcentral is "bacterial SSU rRNA". It matches the Rfam family "Bacterial small subunit ribosomal RNA", at positions 542 to 856 of the family's 1533-position model. The record is from RNAcentral.